AGUGAACGCUGGCGGCAGGCUUAACACAUGCAAGUCGAACGGCAGCACAGUGAUAGCUUGCUCUUACGGGUGGCGAGUGGGGGACGGGUGAGGAAUACAUCCGAAUCUACUCUUUCGUGUGGGAUAACGUAGGGAAACUUACGCCAAUACCGCAUACCACCCUCGGGUGAAAGCAUGGGAACUUUGGACCUUGCGCGAUUGAAUUAGCCGAUGUCGGAGUGGCUAGUUGGCGGGGUAAAGGCCCACCAAGGCGGCGAUUCGUAGCCGGUCUGAGGGGAUGGUAGGCCACACUGGAGGGGGACCGCGGACCUGAGGCCUACGGGAGGCCGCAGUGGCGAAUGUUGGGCAAUGGGGGGAAGCCUGAUCCAGCGGUACCACGUGGGAGGAGAAGACCCUCGGGGUGGAAAGCCGUUCUGUGGGGAAAAAAAAGCAGUAGGUUAUUACCCAGCUGUUGUGACGGUAACGAAAGAAGAAGCACCGGCUAACUACGUG
This 492-nucleotide ribosomal RNA is filed under the name uncultured bacterium. RNAcentral describes it as "partial 16S ribosomal RNA". It matches the Rfam family "Bacterial small subunit ribosomal RNA", at positions 30 to 507 of the family's 1533-position model. The record is from RNAcentral.